GGAGUCUCUUCGGAGACCUGCCGCUGGUGGAUGAGCCUGCGUCCGAUUAGCUUGUUGGUAGGGUAAUGGCCUACCAAGGCGACGAUCGGUAGCUGGUCUGAGAGGAUGAUCAGCCACACUGGGACUGAGACACGGCCCAGACUCCUACGGGAGGCAGCAGUGGGGAAUAUUGGACAAUGGGCGCAAGCCUGAUCCAGCCAUGCCGCGUGGGUGAAGAAGGCUUUCGGGUUGUAAAGCCCUUUCAGUGGGGAAGAAAAGCUUGGUGUUAACAGCACCGAGUCUUGACGGUACCUACAGAAGAAGCACCGGCUAAUUCCGUG
This 320-nucleotide ribosomal RNA is filed under the name uncultured bacterium. Its description in RNAcentral is "bacterial SSU rRNA". It matches the Rfam family "Bacterial small subunit ribosomal RNA", at positions 195 to 507 of the family's 1533-position model. The record is from RNAcentral.